GAAACUACAAUGCAGAAGAAAAAUGCUGCUUUUAGCCAUCUUAAUUUAAAUUAAACAAGCACAGAAAGUUUCUUAACUUUGUCAAAUCUUUAACAACUUUCCCUUUUGUUAAUAAUGUAAGUUUAACACAGUACUGUACUGAAUUUGCUUUUUUUUGUGUGUGUCUGCUCUUGCCUGAUUCCAUAUUUCUGUUUCCAAAUGAGGUGUGUGGUUGACUCGUUAGUCUGUAACUCUGAGAUUCUACUGUACGUAGUCUUAGGUGGCUAAGCCAGGCUAUUAUUAGACAGAAGGAAAAAGAGAGGAAUAGGAAAGAGAUUAAAUAAGGUGAGGAAGGAAAAGGACAUGUGGGAGGAGAAACAGUCUUCCAGGUGAUGUUUUGAGAUUUAGCCAUAGCCAGUGCAGGAGGCAAUGUCAUCUCAGUCCCACUUUCUGUCCCAGCCUGGUCAGGACAUAUCUCAGGAUCAGGAUGCUGAAGGCCUCAACGGUGUUACAGUAGAUCCUAGGAGAUGGUGGGAGUGGCAGCCAUCAUGGUAAAGCUUGUGGCAGUGGUUGUUGGCAGACAGCUGCUACUUUGCCUUAUACAGAUGAAAGCUGACAGCUGAAUGAAAAUAAAUGGACUCCUGCUGCAUUUGUAUCUAAGCACAGUUUAAAAGGUGGACUUUAAAAACAAAUAUUUUGAAAAGCAACCAUAUUCUAAAAAAGAAGGCAUCUGUGAUAUCAUACAAUCUCAUUUGCCCAAACUGACAUCAGCAAAAAAUUGUCUUCACAUGUAUCAGAAUAACCUAUCCUCCAAAAUGUUAUGGGGUGAGCUUAAUUAAUUCAUAUGUAUUAUAAUUGUGCAAACCUGUCACAUUAUGUUUUUAAAGGAUGUUUAUGUCUGUUUUGCUUUGUGAUUCUUAAGGCUCGUCCUGAGCUACAUUUGACCCUUACAUUGUAAUAAAUUAAACAAAAAAUGAUAUAAUUUAAGUUACUUACUAGUAAUUUGUAAUAAAGUAUCUGUUAAGUGGGGAGUGAAAACAUGUAAAGAUGCUGACGUUAAACAUUUUAGAACUUUGAAAGUAUAUAACCCAAAAGGGUCGGUCAAGAAGAUUAAGGCAAAAGCAUACUAGUGUACACUGAUGAGAUAAAUUUGUAUAUUAAAUCAGUAAUGCUGGGGUUCUUGUAUGAAAUUCAGUAAAAAUAGAGAAUUUUAUUUCUAGAUCUCUUACCAGCUCCAUAACUAAGAAUACAUCAGCCCUUUUUACACCACGGCAUCACUUCCAGCAAAGAUGCUGGACAUCAUGAAUUAAAAUCCUUGGGACCUCCUUUUUGAUUAAUUUUGCUGGGCCUCAUGCUACAUAUGUGUCAGCCAUCCCUAUCUUUCUGUUGCUUCCAUGCAUACAUGCACAGCUUUCCCUGCCAAAAAUAAAUCUCCUAAUCAACACAUA
Molecule: non-coding RNA, 1427 nt
Organism: Chelonoidis abingdonii (Abingdon island giant tortoise)
Lineage: Eukaryota; Metazoa; Chordata; Testudines; Testudinidae
Source: RefSeq, a predicted model, not a curated record